CUAAAAAUGUAUAUUUUUAUGUUACUAGACUUUAUAUACAAAUUUUGUAGCAUUUUGGUUUUUGAUUUUUGAAAUAUAGAAAAAAUAGUACUCAAGUACUUAUAAAUUAGGGUAUAAAGUACUUACUAGGAUGUUUAAGAUGCUAGACGAUAUCUAGUAGAUUUAUGGUCCAUUUUUUUAUAAUAAAGUUAUAGGAUAAAGUCUAAAUUAUCUAGAAAUUUGAAAAAAACUAAAAAAUUGGAUCAAGAG
This 249-nucleotide long non-coding RNA is filed under the name Physcomitrium patens. Its description in RNAcentral is "long non-coding RNA (PPAT_LNC012333)". Lineage: Eukaryota; Viridiplantae; Streptophyta; Bryopsida; Funariales; Funariaceae. The record is from RNAcentral.